GGAUUAUAAUAAAUUAAAUGCCUAAACUGGCAGACUGCAAACAAUUUUGACU
RNAcentral lists this microRNA precursor (52 nucleotides) under Bos grunniens (domestic yak). RNAcentral describes it as "miRNA (ENSBGRG00000006315.1)". The record is from RNAcentral. Lineage: Eukaryota; Metazoa; Chordata; Mammalia; Artiodactyla; Bovidae.